CUCACCCGUGACUUAACUUUCUGGGUAGACAUGUGUGCCAGAGGUGCGCUGGGGCCAGAUGGGGCAGGAGGAGUCCACCCAUAUUUCAGCUCAAAAUUGUAUUCAAGGAGUUCUUGAUGUCUAAAAAAUUUUGCUUUAUGAAAAGAACCAACUACUCUCAACUUAUCUUUUAUUCAUUGUAAUUAAAUUAUUCCUUUGUACAUGGAAUAAAAAAAGAAAUUAUUAAAUUUAUUUGAAGACAUCCGAAUAACAUUUGGUUAUGCAGUCUGCCUAUUUUAAUAUGACUUGCAAAAUUGAAAACUGCAGAGGAAUUCUAAGUCAAUAGAAAAAUCUCUAAACUUUUUUAAGGACAUUCAUCUCAAAAUGUGGUUUUAAACUUAGGCACUUCACCAUCUGACACAGGAAGAGAAAGAUAAGAAACCAAAUAAAAUACUAGCAAAGUCUGACAAAACUCUCUUUCCAAAAUUAGACUUAUUAAUCUUCACAUGAGAGACCCCAUUUUCUACAGAGGGCUUAUUUUUUAAUACACAGGACCACCUCUCCUCCCCACUAAACUUAGAAAAUUACACUGGUUUCUUGGGGCUUCUGCCCAAGUUUCUUCCUUAUGUACCACUGACAUUUCUGCAAACCUCCUCUAAAUAUUGUGAGAGAUAGAAGUGGCUUUUUAUUUGGAAAAGUAGUUGUGAUUUAGGAUUAUCAGUGAAACCCCUUGGGGCUUUAUUGAAUCAUGUCAACAGCUGUCAGUAAUAAUAUGUACUUUGCUGGCCACAACAUAAUGUAUUGAUAUGUAUAAAACAAUGUUACAAACUGGAAAAAAAAAUAUAUUUUUUUAAUAAUUUAUAUGCAGUCUUAUGAAUAAUACAGAGCUCUUUGUGAGCAUUAUGGUGCUGUAGAUAAUAAAUUUAACCUGUUCUCUGGCCUGCCAAGAGAGUUGUAAAGCAGAAUAUAUUGGUUCACCUUUGUGAAAAUAAACAAUUUUAGUAUGUCAGUACGUUCUAGCUAACAUUUACUUCUGAGGUCUUAAAGAAUAGUGUGCUCUAAAUGGUUCUGGGAGUGUUUAUACUGGCUCUGACUCUCCUGGGUAAUGUUUCAGUGAGUGAUAUGAUCAGAUAACAAGUGGCACUAUUUCUCAAGUAUUGAUAUUGUGAUAUCUCCUGUAGUUUUAUUUCCUGGAGUAGCUAAUUUUGUCUUAACUGGAUCUGUAGUUGUUUGUAUGUAUUUUUAAUAUGAUUUUUUUAAAGUGGUUUAUAGACUUGUGUACAUUUUCUAAGUGAUAUCACCCUUCUUUCUCAGUUAUUUUUGCAUGGAUCAGGAAUCAAUAAGUCCUUACUGUUCUUGUUUUAUCUUCUUGACAAAAUACAGACACCCUUAUAGGAAAUGUUUCUCUUGAAACUGAAAUAGCAAUCAAUUCAUCACCUCUUCAUGUGUUCCAAAUGGUAACAAGACAUCUGUAUUCAUAGCAAAUCAUAAUUGAUUAUAUAAAUUAAUUUAUAGUAACAUAUUUACAUAAACUUUGUGAGAAUAGCCAAGCUUUCUGUGUUUAUUAAUUUCUCCUACAAUAGCAGUAAGGGUGGUGAUUUUUGCAUAGGAAGAAAAACUCUGAUAUUCAAUCAAUCUUUUGGCUGAUAACAUACAACUGAAAUUUUAACAUGUUGUAAUUUCCUCACAGGAUAACAAAGAAGAAAUAAAUUUAUAAGCAGCACUUUAUUGAAGAGGAGCUGCCCCGCUUUGGUCGCGGAUCCCACUUACCUGGGACUAACCCUGCUUUGAUCGCGGAUCCCACUUAUUGGGACUAACCCCGCUUUGGUCGCGGAUCCCACUUACCUGGGACUAACCGGUGCACCACCCCUGACUGCUGAAAGUUCUGGUUCCCGGGUCUCGGCACCACUUGUCGUGACCCCUUGCCCGCAAGGAAGAUGCAACUCAGGAAUCUUCUUUCAGCAGUUUAUUCAGGCCCUUGAUAUUUCUUCAUCUCCCUCUCGGAUGCCCCUCCCAGCCUUAAUAAAGCAUCUCAAACCCCAA
This is a long non-coding RNA of Marmota monax (woodchuck), 2022 nucleotides long. RefSeq lists it as uncharacterized. NCBI's taxonomy places the organism in Eukaryota, Metazoa, Chordata, Mammalia, Rodentia, Sciuridae. The record is from RefSeq and is a predicted model, not a curated record. The transcript has 2 exons.